GGCGCUAUAGCCAAGUGGUUACGGCGACAGAUUAGAACCAUUCAAAAUUGGAAUCUGCAAUCUGUUCCUCUUUGAGGGCGCAGGUUCGAAUCCUGCUGGCGUCG
Molecule: non-coding RNA, 104 nt
Organism: Stygiomarasmius scandens
Lineage: Eukaryota; Fungi; Basidiomycota; Agaricomycetes; Agaricales; Campanellaceae
Source: the annotation of a GenBank genome assembly